UAAAACUUUCAACAACGGAUCUCUUGGUUCUGGCACCGAUGAAGAACGCAGCGAAAUGCGAUAAGUAAUGUGAAUUGCAGAAUUCAGUGAAUCAUCGAAUCUUUGAACGCACAUUGCGCCCCCUGGUAUUCCGGGGGGCAUGCCUGUUCGAGCGUCAUUGC
Molecule: ribosomal RNA, 161 nt
Filed under: Lecidea cancriformis
Lineage: Eukaryota; Fungi; Ascomycota; Lecanoromycetes; Lecideales; Lecideaceae
Description: 5.8S ribosomal RNA
Rfam family: 5.8S ribosomal RNA
About the family: 5.8S ribosomal RNA (5.8S rRNA) is a component of the large subunit of the eukaryotic ribosome. It is transcribed by RNA polymerase I as part of the 45S precursor that also contains 18S and 28S rRNA. Functionally, it is thought that 5.8S rRNA may be involved in ribosome translocation.
Source: RNAcentral